This 425-nucleotide ribosomal RNA is filed under the name uncultured prokaryote. Its description in RNAcentral is "bacterial SSU rRNA". It matches the Rfam family "Bacterial small subunit ribosomal RNA", at positions 355 to 796 of the family's 1533-position model. The record is from RNAcentral.
UGGGGAAUCUUGGACAAUGGGGGCAACCCUGAUCCAGCGACGCCGCGUGGGUGAUGAAGGCCUUCGGGUUGUAAAGCCCUUUCGACGGGGACGAUGAUGACGGUACCCGGCGAAGAAGCACCGGCUAACUCCGUGCCAGCAGCCGCGGUAAGACGGAGGGUGCUAGCGUUGUUCGGAAUCACUGGGCGUAAAGGGCGCGUAGGCGGCCCAUGGCGUCGGCUCGUGAAAGCCCGGGGCUCAACCCCGGAGGUGCGGCCGAUACACAUGGGCUGGAGGCCGGAAGAGGAGGGUGGAAUACCCAGUGUAGAGGUGAAAUUCGUAGAUAUUGGGUGGAACACCGGUGGCGAAAGCGGCUCUCUGGUCCGGUCCUGACGCUGAGGCGCGAAAGCGUGGGGAGCAAACAGGAUUAGAUACCCCCGUAGUCC